Molecule: ribosomal RNA, 370 nt
Filed under: uncultured organism
Description: bacterial SSU rRNA
Rfam family: Bacterial small subunit ribosomal RNA
Source: RNAcentral
CGUAGGGUGCGAGCGUUAAUCGGAAUUACUGGGCGUAAAGCGUGCGCAGGCGGUUUUGUAAGACAGAUGUGAAAUCCCCGGGCUCAACCUGGGACCUGCAUUUGUGACUGCAAGGCUCGAGUACGGUAGAGGGGGAUGGAAUUCCGCGUGUAGCAGUGAAAUGCGUAGAUAUGCGGAGGAACACCGAUGGCGAAGGCAAUCCCCUGGACCUGUACUGACGCUCAUGCACGAAAGCGUGGGGAGCAAACAGGAUUAGAUACCCUGGUAGUCCACGCCCUAAACGAUGUCAACUGGUUGUUGGGUCUUUACUGACUCAGUAACGAAGCUAACGCGUGAAGUUGACCGCCUGGGGAGUACGGCCGCAAGGUUG